Long non-coding RNA from Alexandromys fortis (reed vole), 299 nucleotides. RefSeq lists it as uncharacterized. The record is from RefSeq and is a predicted model, not a curated record. Lineage: Eukaryota; Metazoa; Chordata; Mammalia; Rodentia; Cricetidae. The transcript is spliced from 3 exons.
AGCAUGGUGAGGACGACGUCUGCCAGCCCGAGUUUACAGGGGCCACCCAGCCAGGCCUGUAGCCUGAAGAAGAGGUCACAAGGACAUGAGCUGUGAUGAUCAACACUGUCAACGCCACAGGAUCUAGAGUCACCUAAGGGACAAACCUCUGGACAUUUCUACAAUGGAACUUUGAGAGGCACUGGACUUCAGUUGAAGUUGUCAUAGGACACGUUUAUGGGAAGGAUUUGAAAAGCCAGCCUGUUAUUUUCUGUGUUUUCCUGUCCCCCUGAUGGAAGGCUGACCACAAUGGAUUGGAG